Molecule: ribosomal RNA, 468 nt
Filed under: uncultured bacterium
Lineage: Bacteria
Description: partial 16S ribosomal RNA
Rfam family: Bacterial small subunit ribosomal RNA
Source: RNAcentral
GACGAACGCUGGCGGCGUGCUUAACACAUGCAAGUCGAACGGAAAGGCCCUGCUUUUGUGGGGUGCUCGAGUGGCGAACGGGUGAGUAACACGUAAGUAACCUGCCCUUGACUUUGGGAUAACUUCAGGAAACUGGGGCUAAUACCGGAUAGGAGCUCCUGCUGCAUGGUGGGGGUUGGAAAGUUUCGGCGGUUGGGGAUGGACUCGCGGCUUAUCAGCUUGUUGGUGGGGUAGUGGCUUACCAAGGCUUUGACGGGUAGCCGGCCUGAGAGGGUGACCGGCCACAUUGGGACUGAGAUACGGCCCAGACUCCUACGGGAGGUAGCAGUGGGGAAUAUUGCACAAUGGGCGGAAGCCUGAUGCAGCAACGCCGCGUGCGGGAUGACGGCCUUCGGGUUGUAAACCGCUUUCGCCUGUGACGAAGCGUGAGUGACGGUAAUGGGUAAAGAAGCACCGGCUAACUACGUG